RNAcentral lists this non-coding RNA (24 nucleotides) under Cricetulus griseus (Chinese hamster). Lineage: Eukaryota; Metazoa; Chordata; Mammalia; Rodentia; Cricetidae. The record is from RNAcentral.
AUGGUAUGAAAUGUGAAUGAGGUA